AGGGGUAUAGUUCAGUUGGUAGAACGUUGGUCUCCAAAACCAAAUGUCGAGGGUUCAAGUCCUUCUGCCCCUG
This 73-nucleotide transfer RNA is filed under the name Eubacterium sp. Its description in RNAcentral is "tRNA-Trp". It matches the Rfam family "tRNA". Rfam says of the family: Transfer RNA (tRNA) molecules are approximately 80 nucleotides in length. Their secondary structure includes four short double-helical elements and three loops (D, anti-codon, and T loops). RNAcentral also lists the same sequence under 5 other names. The record is from RNAcentral. Lineage: Bacteria; Bacillati; Bacillota; Clostridia; Eubacteriales; Eubacteriaceae.